GUGGGGAAUAUUGGACAAUGGGCGAAAGCCUGAUCCAGCCAUGCCGCGUGUGUGAAGAAGGCCUUCGGGUUGUAAAGCACUUUAAGCGAGGAGGAAAGGUUGAAGGUUAAUACCCUUUAGCUGUGACGUUACUCGCAGAAUAAGCACCGGCAAACUUCGUGCCAGCAGCCGCGGUAAUACGAAGGGUGCAAGCGUUAAUCGGAAUUACUGGUCGUAACGCGCGCGUUGGUGGUUAAGUAAGCGAUCUGUGAAAGCCCCGGGCUCAACCUGGGAAUUGCAGGUCGAACUGCUUGGCUAGAGUAUGGUAGAGGGGUGUGGAAUUCCAGGUGGAGCGGUGAAAUGCGUAGAUAUCUGGAGGAACAUCAGUGGCGAAGGCGACACCCUGGACCGAUACUGACACUGAGGUGCGAAAGCGUGGGUAGCGAACAGGAUUAGAAACCCGUGUAGUCC
RNAcentral lists this ribosomal RNA (450 nucleotides) under uncultured bacterium. Its description in RNAcentral is "partial 16S ribosomal RNA". It matches the Rfam family "Bacterial small subunit ribosomal RNA", at positions 354 to 796 of the family's 1533-position model. The record is from RNAcentral.